Molecule: ribosomal RNA, 254 nt
Filed under: uncultured bacterium
Lineage: Bacteria
Description: partial 16S ribosomal RNA
Rfam family: Bacterial small subunit ribosomal RNA
Source: RNAcentral
UACGUAGGGACCGAGCGUUGUCCGGAUUCAUUGGGCGUAAAGAGCUCGUAGGCGGUUCGAUAAGUCGGGUGUGAAACCUCCAGGCUCAACCUGGAGACGCCACCCGAUACUGUCGUGACUAGAGUCCAGUAGGGGAGCGUGGAAUUCCUGGUGUAGCGGUGAAAUGCGCAGAUAUCAGGAGGAACACCAGCGGCGAAGGCGGCGCUCUGGGCUGGAACUGACGCUGAGGAGCGAAAGCGUGGGGAGCGAACAGG